This 417-nucleotide ribosomal RNA is filed under the name uncultured bacterium. RNAcentral's name for it is "bacterial SSU rRNA". It matches the Rfam family "Bacterial small subunit ribosomal RNA", at positions 355 to 791 of the family's 1533-position model. The record is from RNAcentral.
UGGGGAAUAUUGCACAAUGGGGAAACCCUGAUGCAGCGACGCCGCGUGGAGGAAGAAGGUCUUCGGAUUGUAAACUCCUGUUGUUGAGGAAGAUAAUGACGGUACUCAACAAGGAAGUGACGGCUAACUACGUGCCAGCAGCCGCGGUAAAACGUAGGUCACAAGCGUUGUCCGGAAUUACUGGGUGUAAAGGGAGCGCAGGCGGGAGAACAAGUUGGAAGUGAAAUCCAUGGGCUCAACCCAUGAACUGCUUUCAAAACUGUUUUCUUGAGUAGUGCAGAGGUAGGCGGAAUUCCCGGUGUAGCGGUGGAAUGCGUAGAUAUCGGGAGGAACACCAGUGGCGAAGGCGGCCUACUGGGCACCAACUGACGCUGAGGCUCGAAAGUGUGGGUAGCAAACAGGAUUAGAUACCCUAGU